Molecule: transfer RNA, 65 nt
Filed under: Crystallias matsushimae
Lineage: Eukaryota; Metazoa; Chordata; Actinopteri; Perciformes; Liparidae
Description: tRNA-Cys
Source: RNAcentral
AGCCCCAUGGUGUCAACAUAUAAGAUUGCAAAUCUUAAGAGGCAAACUAACAUUUGCUGGGGCUU